AGAGUUAAAAAAAAGAGAGACAGCCCGAGGGAUCGAGACCUGAACAUGUGGUGGUGGUUGCACAGUCGCCUUUUCCAGUUUGGAGAGACGUUGACAACCUUAAAGUUCCACCACAAGAGGAAUAUAAAGAGGUCCCUCCUGCACCAAGAAAGAUCUGCAGAUCUUUUUCAGUGUUCUUGGAGGUGUGGGGUGUGAGAACUUGAUCAGUUUGUGUCAGCCACCUUGUUCUCUAAAGUUACAAAUUAUAAUACUGUGGUAGAAACAAAUUCAGAUUCAGAUGAUGAAGACAAACUCCAUAUUGUGGAAGAAGAAAGUGUCACAGAUGCAGCUGAUUGUGAAGGUGUACCAGAGGAUGACCUGCCAACAGACCAGACAGUGUUACCAGGGAGGAGCAGUGAAAGAGAAGGGAAUGCUAAGAACUGCUGGGAGGAUGACACAGGAAAGGAAGGGCAAGAAAUCCUGGGGCCUGAAGCUCAGGCAGAUGAAGCAGGAUGUACAGUAAAAGAUGAUGAAUGCGAGUCAGAUGCAGAAAAUGAGCAAAACCACGAUCCUAAUGUUGAAGAGUUUCUACAACAACAAGACACUGCUGUCAUUUUUCCGGAGGCACCUGAAGAGGACCAGAGGCAGGGCACACCAGAAGCCAGUGGUCAUGAUGAAAAUGGAACACCAGAUGCAUUUUCACAAUUACUCACCUGUCCAUAUUGUGAUAGAGGCUAUAAACGCUUUACCUCUCUGAAAGAACACAUUAAAUAUCGUCAUGAAAAGAAUGAAGAUAACUUUAGUUGCUCCCUGUGCAGUUACACCUUUGCAUACAGAACCCAACUUGAACGUCACAUGACAUCACAUAAAUCAGGAAGAGAUCAAAGACAUGUGACGCAGUCUGGGUGUAAUCGUAAAUUCAAGUGCACUGAGUGUGGAAAAGCUUUCAAAUACAAACAUCACCUAAAAGAGCACUUAAGAAUUCACAGU
This 969-nucleotide small RNA is filed under the name Pongo abelii (Sumatran orangutan). RNAcentral's name for it is "processed transcript". Lineage: Eukaryota; Metazoa; Chordata; Mammalia; Primates; Hominidae. The record is from RNAcentral.